This 482-nucleotide ribosomal RNA is filed under the name uncultured bacterium. RNAcentral describes it as "bacterial SSU rRNA". It matches the Rfam family "Bacterial small subunit ribosomal RNA", at positions 29 to 507 of the family's 1533-position model. The record is from RNAcentral.
AUUGAACGCUGGCGGCAUGCCUUACACAUGCAAGUCGAACGGUAACGCGGGGCAACCUGGCGACGAGUGGCGAACGGGUGAGUAACGCAUCGGAACGUGCCCAGUCGUGGGGGAUAACGCAGCGAAAGCUGUGCUAAUACCGCAUACGAUCUAUGGAUGAAAGCGGGGGACCGUAAGGCCUCGCGCGAUUGGAGCGGCCGAUGUCAGAUUAGCUAGUUGGUGGGGUAAAGGCCCACCAAGGCGACGAUCUGUAGCUGGUCUGAGAGGACGACCAGCCACACUGGAACUGAGACACGGUCCAGACUCCUACGGGAGGCAGCAGUGGGGAAUUUUGGACAAUGGGCGCAAGCCUGAUCCAGCAAUGCCGCGUGCAGGAAGAAGGCCUUCGGGUUGUAAACUGCUUUUGUACGGAACGAAACGGUCUGGGCUAAUACCCCGGGCUAAUGACGGUACCGUAAGAAUAAGCACCGGCUAACUACGUG